Panthera uncia (snow leopard) is the source of this 1072-nucleotide long non-coding RNA. RefSeq lists it as uncharacterized. Lineage: Eukaryota; Metazoa; Chordata; Mammalia; Carnivora; Felidae. The transcript is spliced from 2 exons. The record is from RefSeq and is a predicted model, not a curated record.
GAGCGUGAGCAGGGGUGGGGCAGAGAGAGGGAGACACAGAAUCCGAAGCAGGCGCCAGGCUCCUAGCUGUCAGCACAGAGUGCGACCUGGGGCUCGAACUCACAAACCGCGAGAUCAUGACCUGAGCCGAAGUCGGACACUUAACCAACUGAGCCACCCAGUGAAACUACAGCGAGAAGGAAGAUAAAAGAGAAGCGCUCCUUCCUCCUUUCUCCUUUUGAUCUCUCCUGGAAGUGGAAAGAAAAUCCGUGCCUCUCUCCGGAAACUGAGGAACAGCAUAAGGAGCAUUUCCCCUACUGAUGACAGGGCCUCUGUUAGACGCAGGCAAAGUAGAAAUACAAACUCAGGUAAAGCUGCCUAAUCAUAUGGAGGCCCUAAAUAGGAAAUACGCCUUCUUGUGUACAAUGUGCAGGGCCAGGGCGCCGAGGGAAACAGAAGGUAGGGAAAUACGCCGGAUUACUGGUCUAGCUGGGCCAAAGGGGCAACAUUUAGUACAUGGAGGCAAGAGUGCCUUAUAAAACUCAAGGGCGAGAGUGCAGCUGGGCCUCAGGGUGGGACCAGAGUCAAGGAAGCCAUGGGAACCCAGGAAAUAGACCCUCUUCAUCUCAACUCUUGGCUUCUCCUGGAGCACCUGCUUCCCUUUUCUCUUUGCCUUUCUUUGUUCCCUCAUCUCCUUAACAGAAAACAAAGACGAGCAGGGCUUCGUGGUUUGCCUGUUCUGGAUUCAGCCCCAGAGAGUGCCUCACAGAGUGACUGACUCUUUCCCAGUAGCCCUUGAUCUUGUUCUCCGUUCUCAUUUCGCAGGAAAGGGUCACCAGCUGGCCUGGCCUAAGUCAGAGCCUCGUUUCUUGUCCACUCCCCUGUGCUGGGUGGCUGUGUAUAUCAGAUCCCGCCCCCACCCCGCCCCGCUGUGGGCUGCGUCUGACGCGGUUCAAGGAAGUGAGCUGAGAAGAUACUCCAAAAUUGUCUUCGGCAUCUGAGUGUUUUCGGUGACUGAGAUCAGGAAAUAUUCAGGAAAUUUCCAAUCACGUAGCAUGUUUAUGCCAUGCAAUAAAAUGCAAUUAAGCAGUCA